Molecule: unclassified non-coding RNA, 259 nt
Filed under: uncultured fungus
Lineage: Eukaryota; Fungi
Description: sequence contains ITS1, 5.8S rRNA gene
Rfam family: 5.8S ribosomal RNA (bases 211-259)
Source: RNAcentral
UUUCCGUAGGUGAACCUGCGGAAGGAUCAUUAUCAAGAGUCUGCACCAAAAGCCCACUGGUUCUGCCUUUGCGGCGGUGUGCAGCUCAUACCACACCCUUAUCUAUACGUACCCUUUGUUAUUUCCUCGGCGGGGACGCCCGUCGGUAGGAAGUCCAUCAAAACCUAUUGCAUCAGCAUUAAUACUUCUGAGCGUAACCUAAAUUUUUACAACUUUCAACAAUGGAUCUCUUGGUUCUGGCAUCGAUGAAGAACGCAGC